GUUUGAUCCUGGCUCAGAAUCAACGCUGGCGGCGCGCCUAACACAUGCAAGUCGAACGAGAAAGUGGAGCAAUCCAUGAGUAAAGUGGCGUACGGGUGAGUAACACGUGGAUUAUCUGCCCUUUUGUGGGGAAUACCGCUGGGAAACCGGCGACAAUACCGCAUAAGCUCGAGAGAGGAAAGCCCGCAAGGGCGCAGAAGGAGGAGUCCGCGGUCGAUUAGUUAGUUGGCAGGGUAAAGGCCUACCAAGACUGUGAUCGAUAGCCGGCCUGAGAGGGCACACGGCCACACUGGCACUGAAACACGGGCCAGACUCCUACGGGAGGCAGCAGUGGGGAAUCUUGCACAAUGGGGGAAACCCUGAUGCAGCGACGCCGCGUGAGCGAUGAAGCCCCUCGGGGUGUAAAGCUCUUUCGGCAGGGAAGAUUAUGACGGUACCUGCAAAAGCAGCUGCGGCUAACUACGUGCCAGCAGCCGCGGUAAUACGUAGGCAGCAAGCGUUGUUCGGAGUUACUGGGCGUAAAGGGUGCGUAGGCGGCUUUUUAAGUUUGGUGUGAAAUCUCCCGGCUCAACUGGGAGGGUGCGCCGAAUACUGAGAGGCUAGAGUGUGGGAGAGGAAAGUGGAAUUCCUGGUGUAGCGGUGAAAUGCGUAGAUAUCAGGAGGAACACCGGUGGUGUAAACGGCUUUCUGGACCAUAACUGACGCUGAGGCACGAAAGCGUGGGUAGCAAACAGGAUUAGAUACCCUGGUAGUCCACGCCCUAAACGAUGCAUAUUUGGUGUGGGCCAUUCAUUUGGUCCGUGCCGGAGCUAACGCGUUAAAUAUGCCGCCUGGGGAGUACAGUCG
This 846-nucleotide ribosomal RNA is filed under the name uncultured bacterium. RNAcentral's name for it is "bacterial SSU rRNA". It matches the Rfam family "Bacterial small subunit ribosomal RNA", at positions 11 to 888 of the family's 1533-position model. The record is from RNAcentral.